UCCGGCAUAGCUCAGUUGGUAGAGCAACGGACUGUUAAUCCGUGGGUCGUAGGUUCGAGUCCUACUGCCGGAGCCA
This 76-nucleotide transfer RNA is filed under the name Acidobacteriota bacterium. RNAcentral's name for it is "Acidobacteria bacterium (rhizosphere metagenome) tRNA-Asn". It matches the Rfam family "tRNA". Rfam says of the family: Transfer RNA (tRNA) molecules are approximately 80 nucleotides in length. Their secondary structure includes four short double-helical elements and three loops (D, anti-codon, and T loops). Further hydrogen bonds mediate the characteristic L-shaped molecular structure. tRNAs have two regions of fundamental functional importance: the anti-codon, which is responsible for specific mRNA codon recognition, and the 3' end, to which the tRNAs corresponding amino acid is attached (by aminoacyl-tRNA synthetases). tRNAs cope with the degeneracy of the genetic code in two manners: having more than one tRNA (with a specific anti-codon) for a particular amino acid; and 'wobble' base-pairing, i.e. permitting non-standard base-pairing at the 3rd anti-codon position. The record is from RNAcentral. RNAcentral also lists the same sequence under 2 other names. Lineage: Bacteria; Pseudomonadati; Acidobacteriota.